RNAcentral lists this ribosomal RNA (440 nucleotides) under uncultured bacterium. Its description in RNAcentral is "partial 16S ribosomal RNA". It matches the Rfam family "Bacterial small subunit ribosomal RNA", at positions 338 to 795 of the family's 1533-position model. The record is from RNAcentral.
CCUACGGGAGGCAGCAGUGGGGAAUAUUGCACAAUGGGGGAAACCCUGAUGCAGCGACGCCGCGUGAGUGAAGAAGUAAUUCGUUAUGUAAAGCUCUAUCAGCAGGGAAGAAAAUGACGGUGCCUGAGUAAGAAGCCCCGGCUCACUACGUGCCAGCAGCCGCGGUAAUACGUAGGGGGCAAGCGUUAUCCGGAUUUACUGGGUGGAAAGGGAGUGUAGACGGCAGUGGAAGGCUGGAGUGAAAGGCGGGGGCUAAACCCCCGGACUGCUCUGGAAACUGUACGGCUGGAGUGCAGGAGAGGUAAGUGGAAUUCCUAGUGUAGCGGUGAAAUGCGUAGAUAUAAGGAGGAACACCAGUGGCGAAGGCGGCUUACUGGACUGUAACUGACGUUGAGGCUCGAAAGCGUGGGGAGCAAACAGGAUUAGAUACCCCUGUAGUC